This 92-nucleotide microRNA precursor is filed under the name Nomascus leucogenys (northern white-cheeked gibbon). RNAcentral's name for it is "miRNA (ENSNLEG00000030360.1)". Lineage: Eukaryota; Metazoa; Chordata; Mammalia; Primates; Hylobatidae. The record is from RNAcentral.
GAGAAUUGCUUGAGCCUGGGAGGUGGAGGUUGCAGUGAGCUGAGAUCACGCCACUGCACUCCAGCCUGGGCAACAGAGUGAAACCCUGUCUC